CACACAGAGAGGGAGAGAGAGCUUACGAUGUUGUUUAUGCCAUGGAUGGCUAGCUCCUGUUCUCCCGUGCUUCUAAUCACCCAGAGCAGAGGAAGCAGAGGCUGGCUACCUCAGACCAGACCACCCGGAGCGAAGGUUUGUCCCACUUAGAUCUAGCUGGUCUGGGUUGGGGCGGUGGAGCCAUGAGAGAGAGAGAGAGGUGAGAGGUGGCAUCACCGGCACUUGGGUAUGAACAAAAAGCGCCUCCGUUGGCACCUGCGUGAUGGCGGCGCCGGCACAUGCCCGCCUCGACGUGGGAAAACAGCAGCCAUGUGGGGAUAGCGAUGGAGAGGUGGGAGAAAGAGGGGCCCAAAGUGGUGGCGACGCGUAGCACCGCCGUCGGCCGGAGAGGGCACCUAUGGCGGCGGUGUGCGUGGUGGAUCUGGAGCAAUGGGGCCAAAGGGGAUAAGGUUUGGAGCGUGG
This 462-nucleotide ribosomal RNA is filed under the name Triticum aestivum (bread wheat). RNAcentral describes it as "partial small subunit ribosomal RNA". Lineage: Eukaryota; Viridiplantae; Streptophyta; Magnoliopsida; Poales; Poaceae. The record is from RNAcentral.